AUUGAACGCUGGCGGCAUGCCUUACACAUGCAAGUCGAACGGCAGCACGGGUGCUUGCACCUGGUGGCGAGUGGCGAACGGGUGAGUAAUACAUCGGAACAUGUCCUGUAGUGGGGGAUAGUCCGGCGAAAGCCGGAUUAAUACCGCAUACGAUCUACGGAUGAAAGCGGGGGACCUUCGGGCCUCGCGCUAUAGGGUUGGCCGAUGGCUGAUUAGCUAGUUGGUGGGGUAAAGGCCUACCAAGGCGACGAUCAGUAGCUGGUCUGAGAGGACGACCAGCCACACUGGGACUGAGACACGGCCCAGACUCCUACGGGAGGCAGCAGUGGGGAAUUUUGGACAAUGGGCGAAAGCCUGAUCCAGCAAUGCCGCGUGUGUGAAGAAGGCCUUCGGGUUGUAAAGCACUUUUGUCCGGAAAGAAAUCCUUGGCCCUAAUACGGUCGGGGGAUGACGGUACCGGAAGAAUAAGCACCGGCUAACUACGUG
Molecule: ribosomal RNA, 486 nt
Filed under: uncultured bacterium
Lineage: Bacteria
Description: partial 16S ribosomal RNA
Rfam family: Bacterial small subunit ribosomal RNA
Source: RNAcentral